Molecule: ribosomal RNA, 484 nt
Filed under: uncultured bacterium
Lineage: Bacteria
Description: partial 16S ribosomal RNA
Rfam family: Bacterial small subunit ribosomal RNA
Source: RNAcentral
AUUGAACGCUGGCGGCAUGCUUUACACAUGCAAGUCGAACGGCAGCGCGGGCUUCGGCCUGGCGGCGAGUGGCGAACGGGUGAGUAAUACAUCGGAACGUGCCCAGUAGUGGGGGAUAGCUCGGCGAAAGCCGGAUUAAUACCGCAUACGACCUGAGGGUGAAAGCGGGGGAUCUUCGGACCUCGCGCUAUUGGAGCGGCCGAUGGCAGAUUAGCUAGUUGGUGGGGUAAAGGCCUACCAAGGCGACGAUCUGUAGCUGGUCUGAGAGGACGACCAGCCACACUGGGACUGAGACACGGCCCAGACUCCUACGGGAGGCAGCAGUGGGGAAGUUUGGACAAAGGGCGAAAGCCUGAUCCAGCAAUGCCGCGUGUGUGAUGAAGGCCUUCGGGUUGUAAAGCACUUUUGGCGGGAACGAAAAGGACUGUGCCAAUACCACGGUUCGAUGACGGUACCCGCAGAAUAAGCACCGGCUAACUACGUG